AUAAAAUACGCUGCUGCAAAUCUUACUCUCAAAUGCAAGUACGAACAAAUAAGAAAACGACAACCACCCUCGUUAAUUCACAGUCAUUAUCACUCCAGGUAGGUGUCUAUGCGAAAUAUUUCAUAGACAACACUUAUCGCACUUCUGCUACACCAACCACUAAGCAAUGUUUUAAAACCAUAUUUGCUACUGAGAGCUAUUUAUCGGGAGUGUUAAAAUCUUGAAGGAACGUAUUCUCUCAGCCACUGCAGGUCUUCUGCUCUUCCUGUCCCUCUGCGGCAGAGAAUGGAAUUAACGAGAAAGGGAAAAUGGCUGUACUGAAAUGCUAUCUCGUAGCUGCUCCAUCUUUUGUUCAAGAAGAAAGCAGAUUAGCUGGCACUGAGGAGCAGAAUACUUUGCCGUCAGCCGCUGGCAGUCUGGUAUGCCUGGUGUCCGUAUGCCCCAUCCAUCUGUUUCACUCAGUGGAUCUGCAGGAGGCAUCGGGCUUUCCAAAGCAUUGCCUGCUCUAGUGCUGAUGUAUUAAGGAUGCUGCUGCCAACAUUUAAGAAUCACAUCAGGGAAAUUUCUCUCCUCCACCCCCCAUGCAAAUUAUUCUCAAGUGAAGUAAAUAAACAGGACAAGAUGGCCACGGGGAGUAGGCUGUAGGUUGAAGGGUUCUGCAAAGAGGUCCUUUAUAAUCACUCUUUACUGUCAAAAAUGUCAUCUUUUUCUCUUGAAAAAUAAGAAUCUGAAAAAGCACAUUUUGUUUCUAAAUACCAUUAAAUUAUCUAAUCGCAUGUAUGUAAACGCGAGGGUUUAAACAGGGUGUCUAUCCAAUUUUCUCUCCAUAAACCUUUUUUUAACCAUAUUCAAAGCAGGCUAAUAUGGUUUUCAUUUAAACAAGUUGCAGUGAAUUUAUGUGGAAUUAUCAUUUAAACAUAUACAACUGUCCAGUGUAGAGGCUGCCAUCUUGAAAUUGGUUCAAAGGUUUUAAACCCUUAGAGAGCUUGAAUGAUGGCACAAUCAGAGCUGCAGACAAUGCGGUUUGAAUUCUAUUAAUGUCUUCUGUUUAAGACUAUUUGUUUGAGAUGUACUUAGGCAGAAUGUAAAAAUGAAAUAAAAACGGCUGACGCCCCAGCCUUCAUUGCACUGAACACGUUCUUUCAUAGCUGUGGUGCUUUCUAAAAUUCCAUUAUAAGUAUUUUACAUUAGUGAACAAUAUUGUUCACCAGUGUCAUGUUCCUUUAUUUUAUUCAGAGAAACAAAUAUCAUAUAAUAAAGGGAGGGGGGUGAUAACCAAAGUUACUACAAUAAUUCUAUUCAUUUUAGACUGUGUUUUUUGGAAGCAGUCUAAUGCUAUUUUAUCAAAAAGAUAAUUUAUGCUGGCACUCAAUCACAUAGGUGGUGCUGGUAUUCGAGGUUAUCCCUAAGAAAGCCCCAUAAAUAGCAUUACAAAAAAUAUAUAUGAAUACCGCACUCAAUGUAGUAAAAUAAUAAACCGUAGAUAAAGCAGUACUGUAAUUGAAUUUAUUAUUUUCAAUUCUUUGAUGUCUAGGUAUAUAACUUAAUAUGUGAGAUUAUAAUUUAAUCAAUGAAUAUAUUACAUCAUAUAGUCAAUCGCUAUUUACAAAAAUAACCUCCAUAGGUGUUAUAUAGAUAAAUAAUUGAUAUAUAAACACAGUUGUAAGGAUUCCUGUUUGCAAAUCUAAGGAAAACCUAUCCAUAUGGAUAAUAGUUGAAUCUGUGGUGUUCUAUGUACAUAGAAAAAAGAAAAAAGAAAAAAUGAAAAAAUGAAAGAAAGAAAUAUGAAAAAUGAUGAAAAAUUGAAAAAAUAUAAAAGAGAAAAAAAUAAAAAUAAAAAGUGUACAGAUAGUAAAUGUCCUGAUGUACAAUAGUCCAGAGAAUAGUGCACUUUAUAUAAUAAAUAGGUGGAUCUCACCAAGUUGAAUAUCCAGAUGGAUUGUAGCCUUAGUAGCAACUGGAAAAAAUGAAUGAAUGAAGACUCUGUGAAGUGUCUAUUGGAGGAUUUUAAACUGCUGAAUUCCAGAAGAAGGGGUGGCUUGAGAGACGAGAGAAGUGGGGGGGGGGAGUUUCCUGAUCAUGGCAUAGGUGGUGGGAACGGAACUCUGGGUCUGUCAUACAUGCUUGGGGCCGGCGGCCCAAAGUUAUCAGUUUUGGUUAAACAAAACAAGUUUGGUUAACAAUGUUUUCUAAAUAAAGCUGUGACCAAGCUCUUUCACCCAAAACAUGUGUCCAAUGUAUUGUUGGUCGGGGUUGAACUUCGGUGUGGAAUGGUAGUUUCCAUGUAGUUUGACAAUCAAGCAGUGUUUUUAAUGACAUAUCUAUUGUGUGAAACGGAAAUCUAUAUUGAAAGAUAUUGUAUCAGAGACAGAGCCGGUACAUCACGCAGGAAGACUUGGUGAUUCUGACAACCUACGAUUUCAGAAAAGCAAUGAUCUAAAUAACAUGUGUACGAUUCAGUAUAGUGAGGCAUUGCAACAGUGUAACCAUAUAUUCUUCAUGUGAGAGGACCAAUUAUCCCUCCAGGAUGGUGCCCCCUAAUAAUAUACUUACUGUGGACUGUAACUUCCAUUAUAUGCAGUAAGCAGAAAGAUACCCUUAUCUCUCUUAUUUGAAUACGGAACGGGUUUCAGCACUUAGUACAUAAUGCACAUUACACACUCGUUAGUGGAGCUGAAUCGAGGUUCAGAAGGUUCUUUUGGAGAACUAAGUACAUUUACUGAAAGUAAAUCUGAGCAUUACCCAGCACAGCUAGCAGGGAUUAUUUUUAACCUUCAGCUUGGUUUUUAUUUUUUUUUGUCAAAACGACAUACUUCAACAGUGCUUAAUGGGCUGAAUACACUAUGAAACAUCAACACUGGAAAGAUAACACGACCACGUAUGAGAAUCCUCAUUAAGACAAUGAAACAGAAAAGAGAUGGAUGGCGUUUUGAUGUCCAGAAGUUCAGCCGUAAUGACCUUUCCACUGUGGAAACGGCCACGUGGCACAUAUCAGAUAUACUGACACUUGGCAUUAAUGCUGUGGAAAAUAUACUUUGUUGUAUUUUUUUCGUUUCCCAGGUAUGGAUAAACGUGAACUUGUUUUCGUUGCCACGGUGAUGAGAGAUUCUCCUUUCUACAGUAACUGUGAAAUAACUUGGGAAUUCAGGUCUCUGUCGGCCUCUCGCUGUGCGAGUUCAGCAGAUCAUUUGAGACACUCUCCAUUAGCCGGCCAGCGGCCUGCUUGUCUCCCGGACAACUGUGUGACAUUAGCUGUUUGGAUGCGGAUAGCAGAGCUGACAUAAUACAGAUGUCAUGAUGUGAAGAGCUCUGUAUUUUUGGGCAAAUCGCUCCGCCGCCGAAUGAAGGCUCUGUUCUUACAGGACAUUAUAGCAUGACCGUUUAAAUGUUACUAUUCGGCAUCUCUUUAAUCUCCCCUGGCUACAGCUGCGAGACCAUCUGAGGACUUGGAGGCCGAAGUUUUACAUGAAAGAAAUUGAAGAGGGUAUGAUGAUAAGACUUAGGGCGUAUGUUUUGUUCACAAAGUGAAUAGUGAACAUUUACACGUUACUCAAAGUGAAACGGAAAUCCAGAGCAGCCAAACUGAAAGCCUAGUCAACUUAGAAAGCAAUUCCAGUUUGGUUAUUUAAAUCUUAAAUUUGAAACUCACAAUGAAUUCACUUUAAAUUCUCACUUUAGUGAAUAAUUCACCGGAACUUCUGUGUUCACUACUCUCUGUGUUCACUGUGGACCAUGUACUCGCACGUGGAUGCUUUUAAAUGGGCUGUACCUGAAAUUACCUUCAAUAAUCAGAGACAUCAUUAAUAAUCUCAGUGGACCUUGAUCUAGUGAUAUUAAGAAUACAUUAUAUAGAGAUUUGUCUGGCCACCCCACGUUAAGUGUUCUCUAGGAAUUGUGAGUGUUGAUUUUACAGUUUGAUGAAAAAUGAACCUGAAUACCACUGCUUUAGGAUCUUAAUAUUUUAAUAGUGUCACAGAGAUGCGAGAUAGGGAUAGGGCCUUUACCUUCAUACUUGAUUUUAAUUUCAUAUUUUACCGUCCUGUCCAGCCAUGUUGGGGAAGGGAGGUGUGACGGAACGCUGGCACUCCGACUGAGUACCUCCGCCAAUCGAUGCUCCUAGUGCUCGCUGAGGACUCCAAGCACUCCAACCGACACCAUCAGCACUGCAGACCCCACUUCCAGCGAUGCAACUGCGCCGGGGUCUCUGCUGUUUCCACCCACCCUGGACCCAAGGCCAGGAUCCAGCUUCCAGUGGGUGAACCUCUCUUUCCCCAGAGAGCAGGAACAGGAACAAAUCAAGCUAUUGCAAGAGCUUCCUCUGGGGAGUAAGUGAUUAUAGCAAUCCCCAGAGUGUAGGUAUCCCUUCCCCCAAACAUGAGCCAAGGCUUAAUACUGGAACAAGACUGAUUUACUGGCACACAGAACUCACAAUUUAUGCAACACAAAACUCCUCCUCUGGGCCAGGCUAGAUAAUUGAGUUUCUACAAUACACAAAGCUCAAUUAUCUGCUGGCCAGAAAUAAUACAGUUUCAUAAAACACACAGGGACCCCAAAACAUGCAAUAACCCCAUAAAAAUCCUUGGAACCGGGGGAUCUGGGUGAACCACAUAUCCAAAAUUCACCCAGAUCCGUUCAGUACUUUGGAAAAUACAGUUUAAUGCAGAUUCUGCAGAACAUAUACAGGCUAAAUGAAAAACAAUCACUUUAUAAUGUGUCCCCUGCUGUAUAGUCCAAAACCACUGCACGAUGUCUCUGUGCACCAAAUACUGGCAAGAUGGCACCGUGUUGAAAAGUCCAAACAGUGUCUGUGAGUUAAAAUGGCCGCCAUCCAUUGUUCUCACCAUGUGCUUCUGAUACAGGAAAUGGUGGCCACCCAGUAACUCCACAGUAUGUCCCCAGAUGGUUCUUAAAGGGCCAGCAGCAGCACAACACAAAUCCAUUAUGCCCAAAUCAUGUCUUUAAAGGGCAAUACAUCCCAGGGGCCAUAGUCACAGGGCAAGAGGCGGGCAAGCAGUCCUCUCCAGGCACAAGUGGCGAAGGGCACUUCGUCACACAUCUUCCCUUUGGGGGGAAGACUAAACAGGUACCUGACCUUCUGCCGGUCAGUACCUAGAUUAGUCGGGCAGCCCACCCACAAAGAAAAAUACGCAGAGUAACCCCCCCACAAUAAAUGGUACUGGUCUGUAGGUUCAUGUUUGUAGUGGGACAGCGCAGCACUCUCGGUCUCCCUGGUGCAGCUAGGCAAACUGCUGGUGUUGCUUGGGGGGCAGAGGCCAGUGGCGCUCUGCCCUGCUGCCAGCUCUUCCACUGGGGUAACCCGUAGUAAGUCAGGCUCUGAUACAGGGGAAAUGGGGGGGUAAAGGCUAACAGAGCUCUGCCCAGAUGCCAGCUCUUCUGCUGGGGUAACCCGUGGUAAGUCAGGCUCUGAUACAGGGGAAAAGGGGGGGCAGAGGCUAACAGAGCUCUCCCCAGAUGCCAGCUCUUCUGCUGGGAGGGGGUCAGUGGGUAUCGCAGGCUCAUCCACUGCCCCCAGGACCUGGUUGGGAUGUAGCUGGGGAGGGGAAGUUUCACUUACCUCCUCCUCCUGGCAUCCCUGUGGGGUUGGUUGGGGAUCUGGUCCGCCCGUCCAGCCUCCCUGUAGGACUGGCACAGAGACCGCGGUCCAAUCUGCGCCAGUGUGGUUAGGUUUGUCUUCCCCCUCUCCCGGUAUCUCUGGCUGCUGUUGGAGGGGGAGGCUGGUUGCCCCCACUCUCCAGGACGCUGGUUGCUGUAAGGUGGAGGGAUCGACCAUCACCUCCUCCUGGAACUCAGGCCGCCGCUGGGGAGAGAGACCAGUUGUCUCCUCUCCCUGUAUAUUAUACUGCCGCUGGGGACCUGGGCUGACUGCCCAGCAUCCCUGUAGGGCUGGCAGAGAGACUUCAGUCCCAUCUCUGUGUGUCCCCAGGACACGUCUAUGAGGUCCACUACCUCAGGUACCUCUGGUUGGUGGAGGAGAGGGAGGCCGGUUGCCUCCCCUCCCCAGGACGCUGGUUGCUGUAUGGGGGAGGGAUCUACCAUCACCUCCUCCUGGAACUCAGGCUGCUGCUGGGAAGGGAGACCGGUUGUCUCCUCUCCCUGUGAGAUACACUGCCGCUGGGAUCUGGGCCGGGUACCCAGCAUCCCUGUGGGGCAGGUGGAGAGACCUCGGUUCCAUCUCCACCUGCCAUCUGUGGGUCUUCCCAGGACCGUUCCAUAAGGUUGCUCACCUCUGGGGCUGGUUGGACAGAAGAGGGUAGGGUGUCCAGGUAAUCCUCUGGGCUGAGGGACGGUGAUUGGGCUAAGUUGAACAGGCGUCGGUAGCUCUGCUCCAGCCCCCACUCCAUUGCGACCAGAUGACUCAGGUCUGGCCCCAGGUCGUCCGCUCGGGGAAGAUCCAGCAGGGUUUCCCUGAUGUUGUGGAUGUCCCAGAACCGAAACUCUGUGGGGCAUCCAAAGUCAUCGCCCUCCUCAUAGGCCUCCCACAGUAAGCCCGGGCCAUUAUAAUCCUCUCCCUCGGGCAGAUAGUGGUUAGUCAUCGAGGGGUUGCGCUGGGUGGCGUACCACUUUAAUGCCCGGUAAGCUGCAUCUAGCCACAACUCCUUCCAAAUUAAAUCCCAGAGUUCCAACAACCAUUCAUCCAAGGGUUGCUCCCCUAGGAAAGGGGAGCGCAGGGCCUCGAGUACCUGGAACCGCUGCUCGUCACUGGGAAGGCUCUCUCCCCGCCGCCAUUGUACCUUUUCCAGGGCAUCGUGCCACAUCUCCGUACGAGUGACAUCUCUCCAGUUCAGUAUGCACUCCUCUGAUACAGGCCCGUCCUGUUGGGCCAAGUGCUGCUGCAACCUCCAGCGAAACUCCUCUUCCAUGUUGCUGUGGAUAGGGACGCUGCCCGUAGCUAGCUCUAUCCCUUGAGUUCCUCUGAAGCCAGGGUCACUGCACAAGUGCUAGCGUUGCCCUCAAUUAUAAAUCCGUAACUCCACACGUUACCGGUGUCUCCGAGCUGCUGGUCCUCGCACUAGGACGCCAUCCCGCCGCUGCCACCAAAUGUGACGGAACGCUGGCACUCCGACUGAGUACCUCCGCCAAUCGAUGCUCCUAGUGCUCGCUGAGGACUCCAAGCACUCCAACCGACACCAUCAGCACUGCAGACCCCACUUCCAGCGAUGCAACUGCGCCGGGGUCUCUGCUGUUUCCACCCACCCUGGACCCAAGGCCAGGAUCCAGCUUCCAGUGGGUGAACCUCUCUUUCCCCAGAGAGCAGGAACAGGAACAAAUCAAGCUAUUGCAAGAGCUUCCUCUGGGGAGUAAGUGAUUAUAGCAAUCCCCAGAGUGUAGGUAUCCCUUCCCCCAAACAUGAGCCAAGGCUUAAUGCUGGAACAAGACUGAUUUACUGGCACACAGAACUCACAAUUUAUGCAACACAAAACUCCUCCUCUGGGCCAGGCUAGAUAAUUGAGUUUCUACAAUACACAAAGCUCAAUUACCUGCUGGCCAGAAAUAAUACAGUUUCAUAAAACACACAGGGACCCCAAAACAUGCAAUAACCCCAUAAAAAGUAUAUCCUUGGAACCGGGGGAUCUGGGUGAACCAAAUAUCCAAAAUUCACCCAGAUCCGUUCAGUACUUUGGAAAAUACAGUUUAAUGCAGAUUCUGCAGAACAUAUACAGGCUAAAUGAAAAACAAUCACUUUAUAAUAUGUCCCCUGCUGUAUAGUCCAAAACCACUGCACGAUGUCUCUGUGCACCAAAUACUGGCGAGAUGGCACCGUGUUGAAAAGUUCAAACAGUGUCUGUGAGUUAAAAUGGCCGCCAUCCAUUGUUCUCACCAUGUGCUUCAUCCAUUGUUCUCACCAUGUGCCUCUGAUACAGGAAAUGGUGGCCACCCAGUAACUCCACAGUAUGUCCCCAGAUGGUUCUUAAAGGGCCAGCAGCACAACACAAAUCCAUUAUGCCCAAAUCAUGUCUUUAAAGGGCAAUACAUCCCAGGGGCCAUAGUCACAGGGCAAGAGGCGGGCAAGCAGUCCUCUCCAGGCACAAGUGGCGAAGGGCACUUCGUCACAGGAGGGCAUUGUAUUCAAUUAGAGUGUAGGGUGGAGGAUGCAGUGCAUUAGAGUGGAGGGAGGGAGGGAUGGUGGGCAGUGUAUUGGAUUUGGGGGCAGUGUAUUAGGAGGAAGGGGGGCAGUGUAUUGGAUUUGUGGGCAGUGUAUUAGGAGGAAGGGGGGCAGUGUAUUGGAUUUGGGGGCAAUGUAUUGGAUUUGUGUGGCAGUGUAUUAGAUUAGAAGUCUGCAUGGAGGCGCUAAACGCUUCCUAUGGAGAUGCUAAAUGGCCGUGCUGCUUUUUGCCACACAUGUAAAAUAGCCAUCCUAUAGGAAAGCAUUGGACUGGCUGAGAUCAUCAAGUUUGACGAUAUUAGCCGAAGUGAAAAACACACUCCUAGGACUUCAAAAUCAAUAAGAUAACAUAUUUUGUUUUUUACAGCUGUGCAACAGCAUACAUUCACCAUUUCAAUCCCAUUACCAAACUUUCUUAAAGGACCACUAUAGUGCCAGGAAAACAUACUCAUUUUAGUGGCACUAUAGUGCCCUGAGGGUGCCCCCACCCUCAGGGUCCCCCUCCCGCCAGGCUCUGGGAAGAGGAAGGGGUUAAACUUACCUCUUUCUCCAGCGCCGGGCGGGGAGCUCUCCUCCUCCUCUCCUCCCUCUUCUCCUCCUUUUCGGCUGAACGCGCAUGCGCGGCAAGAGCCACGUGCGCAUUCAGCCAGUCCAUAGGAAAGCAUUCACAAUGCUUUCCUAUGGACGCUGGCGUCUUCUCACUGUGAAAAUCACAGUAAGAAGCACGCAAGUGCCUCUAGCGGCUGUCAAGAGACAGCCACUGGAGGCUAUAUUAACCCAUUUAUAAACAUCGCAGUUUCUCUGAAACUGCUAUGUUUAUUAAAAAAGGGUUAACCCUAGCUGGACCUGGCACCCAGACCACUUCAUUAAGCUGAAGUGGUCUGGGUGCCUAUAGUGGUCCUUUAAUAUGUCAAGGUAGUUGGACUGAAUCAUUGGUUAUAUGCAAAUGAAUGUCUCCUUAACGCCGUUACGGCGUUCAAUGCCGUCGCGGCUUUAAAGGGCUCUAAAGCCGUUGCAGCGGCAUAGAACGCCGUAACGGCUUAAGCCCUCAGGAGGUCCGGCAUACUCACCUCCGCCGCGAUCCUCUUCUGGCAGCCCUCCCCCAGCGAAUGAGGCCCCCAGGGGCCAUGUGAUCGCUCUGUGGAUCUGCCAGCAGGGGGGCUGUCUGAAAUGUCAGACAGUCCCCCUGCUGGUGGGAAAUGUAAAAAAAUAAAUAAUAAACAUGUUUUAAAAUAAAACAAAUAUAUUUACAUAUAUAUGUAUAUCAUAUAUUAGUAUUAAAAUACACUUAGAAUGACGUUACACAUAUAUAUAAUAUGUAUAUAUAUAUCUAUUAUAUAUAUAAUAGAUAUAUACACAUAUAUUAUAUAUAUAUAUACGUAUAAUUACAAUAAUAAAUAAAUAAAAUAAUAAAUAAAUAAAAUAUUAACACAAAAUUUUAUAUAAAUUAUAUAUUCAUAUGUAAUUUCAUUCUAACUGUAUUUUGUUAUUAAUAUAUAUAUAUAUAUAUAUAUAUUCGUAACAAAAUACACUUAGAAUGACAUUCUAUAUAUAUCUAUCUAUAUAUAAAAUACAAAUAACCGCAAAUAUAUUUAUAUAGAUAUAUACAUAUAAUUACAUAAAAGAUUACAUUAGUAUACACGUAGAAUUUAAAUACCUAUAAAUGCAUAUAUAUUAAAAUUCUACGUGUAUAUUUAAAUAAUCUUUUAACAUAAUUAUGUGAUUUUAUUAAUUAAAAUUUGAUUGACAUGCCUGACAACACAGGGAGAAAGUGCAGAGAAUUUAAUUCGCAAGCACUAUAUUUGACCCUGUAACUCUCCAAGACACCAAAAAACCUGUACAUGGGGAGAGGGGUACUGUUUUACUCGGGAGACUUUGCUGAACUCAAAUAUUAGUGUUUCAAAUUGGUAAAUUGUAUUACAACGAUGAUUUAAGUAAAAGUUAAGUUUUUUGCAUUUUUCACAAACGAACGGCACUUUUAUGGACUAUAUUAUUGUUGUAAUAUGUUUUACUGUUUUGAAACACUAAUAUUUGUGUUUAGUGAAGUCUCCCGAGAAUAACAAUACCUCCCAUGUACAGGUUUUAUGGUGUUUUGGAAAGUUAGAGAGUCACAUAUAAGGCCUGCAUUUCAUUUUUUUGACAUUGAAAUUUGCCAGAUUGAUUAUGUUGCCUUUGAGAGCGUAUAGUAGCCCAGGAAUGAGAAUUACCCCCAUGAUGGCAUACCAUUUGCAAAAGUAGACAACCCAGGGUAAUGCAAGUGGGUAAUGUCCAGUCUUUCUUAGUAGCCACUUAAGAAAGUGUUAUUCUCGGGAGACUUCACUAAACACAAAUAUUAGUGUUUUAAAACAGUAAAACAUAUUACAACAAUAAUAUAGUCCAUAAAAGUGCUGUUCGUUUGUGAAAAAUGCAAAAAACUUCACUUUUACUUAAAAUAUCAUCGUUGUAAUACAAUUUACCAGUUUGAAACACUAAUAUUUGAGUUCAGCAAAGUCUCCCGAGUAAAACAGUACCCCCCAUGUACAGGUUUUAUGGUGUCUUGGAGAGUUACAGGGUCAAAUAUAGUGCUUGCAAAUUAAAUUCUCUGCACUUUCUCCCUGUGUUGUCAGGCAUGUCAAUCAAAUUUUAAUUAAUAAAAUUACAUUAUUAUGUUAAAAGAUUAUUUAAAUAUACACGUAGAAUUUUAAUAUAUAUGCAUUUAUAGGUAUUUAAAUUCUACGUGUAUACUAAUGUAAUCUUUUAUGUAAUUAUAUGUAUAUAUCUAUAUAAAUAUAUUUGCGGUUAUUUGUAUUUUAACAUUGUUAACCAAACUUGUUUUGUUUAACCAAAACUGAUAACUUUGGGCCGCCGGCCCCAAGCAUGUAUGACAGACCCUUCGGUUGUCUACUUUUUCAAAUGGUAUGCCAUUAUGGGGGUAAUUCUCAUUCCUGGGCUACCACACCGUCUUAAAGGUAGCAUUAAUUUCAAUUUGAAAAUGGAACGUUCUAUAUUUGACCCUGACACUUUCCAAAACACCAUAAAACCUGUUAAUGGGGGGUACUGUUGUACUCGUGAGACAUCGCUGAUUACAAAUAUGUGCAUUUUUUUGCAGUAAAACCUAACAGUAUUAUGACAUUCACAGCUAAAAUGUCAGACGGAAAUACAAAUUUAAAAAAAAAUCUUAUUUUCUCACAUUUUUUAAAUGUUAUUUAUAAUAAAUUAUGUUCCAUAUAUGAAUAGUUAAUGAUAAAUUAAAGCCCUGUUUCUCCUGAACAAAAUGAUAUAUAAUAAGUGUGGGUGCAUUUAAUAUGAAAGAGGUGAAUUACGGUUGAACAGACAUAUAGCGCCAACUCUGAAGGGGUUAAAAUAAAUUUGUUCUUUUGUUUACUUUGAAGCCCUACGAGCGCGAGGAUGUCCAGUGUCAGGUAACUUUUUUUAUACUGAACUUUUCUAAAUUAACCUACUUUUCUAUGAAAACUGAAGUUUUUUUAGUGGCCCACAUAAACUUAAACCUUGUUUAUUUGGCCCGUGUUAGCCUUUGAGUUUGACAUGCUUGAUGUAGACCAUGGGUCGGCAACCUUUGACACUCCAGAUGAUGUGGACUACAUCUCCCCUGAUGCUUUGUAAGUAUUAUGGGAGAUGGAGUCCACAAAAUCUGGAGUGUCAUAUGUUGCCUUCCUCUGCUCUAGAUGAUGGACAGUACAGAGCUCCUUGUCCUAACUAUAUCUUGGAAACCUGGGAGCAAUCACUAUAUUCAGUGUUAGCUAGAAGAUAGGCUGUAAGAAGCUCCUUCUCCAUGUUUAGCUGUACCUUGGAGUGGCCACCUAUGCUCAAUAUUAUCUAGAAGGUGGACAGUACGAAGAUCCUUGUCCAUGUUCUAGCUGUACCUUGGAGACCAGGGAGUGGCCCCUAUGCUCAACGUUAUCUAGAAGAUGGACAGUGUGAAGCUCCUUCUUCAUGUUCUAGCUGUACCUUGGAGACCAGGAGCAGCCCUCUAUACUCAUCGUUAUCUAGAGGAUGGACAGUACGAAGCUCCUUCUCCAUGUUCUAGCUGUAUAACUAUCAUGAUCCUUAUCAAUGUUAUUUCGAUGUUCUCCUGUUAAAUAAAACAGACACCUGGGUCGUUAGCGCAGCUGUCACUUGGUAUGAUCCAUUUUUCCAGAACCUACUUCAAAAGAGUAUUUCUAUCAAGAUAAAAGAUCUUGGUGCAAUCCACAUUGUUAUUUAAAGGUACACUGUAGGCACCCAGACUACUUCAGCUUAUUGACGUUGUCUGGGUGCUGUGUCCCUUUUGCACUUAGUGCUGCACUGUUUACAUUGCAGCACUAAGUCUGCCCUCAGUGGCUGUCUACCAGACAGCCACUGGGAGUGCUUCCUGAAUCCAAACUGUCUUUUGCUCUGCAUAAGGACCUCCAGAAUCAGCUUUUCCCCACAGAUUCAAUGCUGUCCUAUGGGGGGGGGGGGUCUAAUGCGCGCGCGGCAUUUGGCGCGCAUAAGCAUUAGAUCCCACUCGUUGCAGGACGGAGGUGGGGACGGAGCUUCGACCCAGCGCCGGGGGACAUCGGCACUGGGAUCAGGUGAGUAAAUAAAGUUUUUUUUUAACCCUUUACUGUGUAGGAGGGGCAGUAUCCCUUUAAGCUUCAAUAUCAUGAAUUUAAUUGCUAUUAUUAUUGGUAUUCAUACAGCGCCAACUUUUACCGCAGCCCUUUACAAUAUUAUAAAGGAGGAAAUUUAACAAUAAAUGAGACAGUUUCCAAUGGUACAGAAACAAUAGGUAGAUGAGGAUCCUGCUCAAACGUACCUUACAUGGGGCAGUUUAGCUCUCCAGAGGGUGUAUGUAACUGGAAGUGCAGGAAAAAACAUCAGAAGUAAAACCUAGUGCUCAACUUAAUCCUUAAUUCUAGAUCUACACACUUGUGGAUGUAUUCCAAGAGUAAAAUCCUAAAUAAUAGAAUAAGAUAAUGAAUUUCCUUGAGGACGUAAGCUGUGCCGCAGAAGGGAAUAAACGCACAGAGGGUAGUAUCGCCUCUGUGUCCAGAGGGAGGUGUGAUGUUAGGGAGGGGAGCACAGCGUCUCCCGCCGUCUCUGCAUCUUAAUCUCCGCAGGUGGGGACUAAACGCACACAAAACAAUCUCCCUCACUUCGGGAAUCUGUGAAUAAAUAAUGCUGCAUAUGUAUUGCAUAUAAAAUGCUAGCUCCACGCCAUUACACAAAGUGUUCACUGCAGUAUAUAGGAAUUGGCUAAAAAAGAUACAUGCAUACAUUAAUAAACUAUAUCUAUCUAUAUCUGUAGAGAGAGAUUCCUUACACUUCACUGCCAAAGCGUAUACAUCCUCAAUGAUGAUAUGAUACAUUCACUGCCCACUGCUUGCAGGUAAAUAAAUCCACACUCGUAAUCUUAAAAAUCAGUCUAUACUUCAUUGCACAGAUGUCCUCAGAGAAGCUCCCAGUAAGCCUGUAUAGCAUGCAGAAUGAUAAAUAUGGAUUCCUCAUACCGGACUCCUGACUGCGUUAUUUGGGUGUAGAUACAUACAUAGUCCCCAUUUAUGAGCAGAAGGAUUCCAAAUCCUAAAACGUAGCUUGUUUUCUGGCGAAGCAUGAAUUAGCUACAGUUAUAUAAACAAUGGAAAUUUAAUCCGUACUUUUAUUCUCUGUCUGUUUAGGUUCCCAGGUUUCCAGUAAAUCAAAACUCGAUCUUCAGACUUAUAUUGUUCGUAUCCGAUGUUCGGGAAUAAUUUCAGGAUUCUCCUUGCGAUUUGCCAGAAUGUGGGUUUCAAUUUUGAUUUAGGAGGCUCAUCUGACACAAAGCAAUGGAUGGAAUUUGUGAAUUUAAAGGACCACGGUCAUCAAUUGUUUUUUUCAUAUCUUCAUAUUAGCUUUAUGUUUUAAUAUACCCCAUGAUUAUUUUUUAUGUUUGUUUGUUUUUUUUACAUUCUUUAUGAAUCUUAAUUAUUCUAGUGCACAAAUAAACUUACAGGCUUAUACGAAUGUUUUACAUGAGCAUGCACAAAAAGUUGAACUCUUGUUUAACAUAAAACAUUGGAGGUACUGCACGUUUUAUCGAAAUUACACACUAAACAAAUAUGUCUAGAGGCAUAGGAUGUUAUGACUCACUAUCAUAUUAUAUAUUCUAGACAUUGUGAGGAAAAGUUUAACAUAUUUAGUAGUGAACAUGUUUGAAUAACUGGUGUUCCACCACAGAGGUAAGAUGCAUCCAGAAGCUAAGCUCUCCGUUCAGCCUUUGCCCUUCAUAGGCACGAUGCGGGCCCACCAGAUGGCGUUGGUCUGCAGGCCUAGUGUUACCAAGAUUGGUUGUGAGCCAAGCAAUGUCAGGCAGCUUCCCUUCUUCCCAUCAUCCCGCUGUGGUUUUCCCAGGCUUGCCUGUCGCCUAUGCAACACAGGUGUCUGCUUGGUGUUCACUCUGCUCUUGGUGCUCUGAUGUGGUCUCUGCCGCCUCCGACUCACCCUGCUAAUGGUGGACUUCACCGGUUAGCGUGGGAUGCGGCAAGGAGGACUCACCAACUCUUGGUCAGCUUGUGGAGCAGGUAAGUUCAGUCUUGAGCUCAACUUUACCCAAAAAGCAUUAAAAAUUCCAUCCUGUAGCCCAUGGAUCAGCGCAGCUAAGAGGAAUAGGCCUUGACAGAGCCAGGAGGUAGGCAUAGCAGCCACAGGAAUUUAGUGACAGCUAGCAUGCUGGGUAGGACGGAGCCAUAAGGGGAGUAGUUAUACCGGCCAUUAUAGGAAGUGGCCAUUUUAACUGAACCUAAGCUUACCUGUCAGUUGUCCCUCCCACCCUCCCUGUAUUUGGUUAGGUUAGUUGAUUUCCCAUUUUUUCACAGCUGCGGGGAAUGGCCUGAUUAAAUCGGAGGGUAGAUGGAGGAGAAAGUGGGCAUCCUGAGGUUUAGUGUGGAUUGGGCAGUGUUGCACGUGGUUGGUAGGUUCAAGCCCGUCGGUGGCUCCAAACCUGGGGGUGUGGUGGUGUCUUGGUACACCCUACACUGGAACUGGUGGGUAGCGGUGUCUUGGUACACCCCUACAACGGAUAUGGUGGGUAGCAGUGUCUUGGUACACCUCUACAAUCGAUAUGGUGGGUAGCGGUGUCUCGGUACAGCCCUACAAUUUAACCUGGUGGAAAUGUGGUCAAAUUGGGUGGCCAGUUUC
Molecule: long non-coding RNA, 15262 nt
Filed under: Pelobates cultripes (western spadefoot toad)
Lineage: Eukaryota; Metazoa; Chordata; Amphibia; Anura; Pelobatidae
Source: RNAcentral